This 101-nucleotide small nuclear RNA is filed under the name Sciurus vulgaris (Eurasian red squirrel). Lineage: Eukaryota; Metazoa; Chordata; Mammalia; Rodentia; Sciuridae. The record is from RNAcentral.
UUGCUUUUGCAGCACAUGUACUAAAAUUGGAACCAUACAGUGAAGAUUAGUUGGCCCCUGCACAAGGAUGACAGCAAAUUCAUGAAGUAUUCCAUAUUAAA